UACGUAGGGGGCGAGCGUUGUCCGGAUUUAUUGGGCGUAAAGAGCUCGUAGGCGGUUGGGCAAGUCACGUGUGAAAUCUCCACGCUCAACGUGGAGGCGCCACGUGAGACUGCCCUGACUCGAGUCCGGUAGGGGAGCGUGGAAUUCCCGGUGUAGCGGUGAAAUGCGCAGAGAUCGGGAGGAACACCCGUAGCGAAGGCGGCGCUCUGGGCCGGUACUGACGCUGAGGAGCGAAAGCGUGGGGA
RNAcentral lists this ribosomal RNA (245 nucleotides) under uncultured bacterium. Its description in RNAcentral is "partial 16S ribosomal RNA". It matches the Rfam family "Bacterial small subunit ribosomal RNA", at positions 524 to 767 of the family's 1533-position model. The record is from RNAcentral.